AUUGAACGCUGGCGGCAGGCUUAACACAUGCAAGUCGAGCGGGGUGAUGGUGCUUGCACUAUCACUUAGCGGCGGACGGGUGAGUAAUGCUUAGGAAUCUGCCUAUUAGUGGGGGACAACAUCUCGAAAGGGAUGCUAAUACCGCAUACGUCCUACGGGAGAAAGCAGGGGAUCACUUGUGACCUUGCGCUAAUAGAUGAGCCUAAGUCGGAUUAGCUAGUUGGUGGGGUAAAGGCCUACCAAGGCGACGAUCUGUAGCGGGUCUGAGAGGAUGAUCCGCCACACUGGGACUGAGACGCGGCCCAGACUCCUACGGGAGGCAGCAGUGGGGAAUUUUGGACAAUGGGGGCAACCCUGAUCCAGCCAUGCCGCGUGCGGGAAGAAGGCCUUCAGGUUGUAAAGCCCUGUCAGGUGGGAGGAAUGGCAUCGGUUCGAAGAGGGUUGAUGCGUGACGGUACCACCAGAGGAAGCACCGGCUAACUCCGUGCCAGCAGCCGCCGUAA
Molecule: ribosomal RNA, 503 nt
Filed under: uncultured bacterium
Lineage: Bacteria
Description: partial 16S ribosomal RNA
Rfam family: Bacterial small subunit ribosomal RNA
Source: RNAcentral